Molecule: ribosomal RNA, 410 nt
Filed under: uncultured bacterium
Lineage: Bacteria
Description: bacterial SSU rRNA
Rfam family: Bacterial small subunit ribosomal RNA
Source: RNAcentral
AAUGGGGGCAACCCUGAUCCAGCCAUGCCGCGUGAGUGAAGAAGGCCUUCGGGUUGUAAAGCUCUUUCGGCCGGGAAGAAAUCGCACAGGUUAAUACCUUGUGUGGAUGACGGUACCGGAAUAAGAAGCACCGGCUAACUACGUGCCAGCAGCCGCGGUAAUACGUAGGGUGCGAGCGUUAAUCGGAAUUACUGGGCGUAAAGCGUGCGCAGGCGGUUUCGUAAGACAGAUGUGAAAUCCCCGGGCUCAACCUGGGAACUGCAUUUGUGACUGCGAGGCUAGAGUAUGGCAGAGGGGGGUGGAAUUCCACGUGUAGCAGUGAAAUGCGUAGAGAUGUGGAGGAACACCGAUGGCGAAGGCAGCCCCCUGGGCCAAUACUGACGCUCAUGCACGAAAGCGUGGGGAGCAAA